RNAcentral lists this ribosomal RNA (204 nucleotides) under uncultured bacterium. RNAcentral's name for it is "partial 16S ribosomal RNA". It matches the Rfam family "Bacterial small subunit ribosomal RNA", at positions 1297 to 1500 of the family's 1533-position model. The record is from RNAcentral.
AUUGCAGGCUGAAACUCGCCUGCAUGAAGUCGGAAUUGCUAGUAAUCGCAGAUCAGCAUGCUGCGGUGAAUACGUUCCCGGGCCUUGUACACACCGCCCGUCACACCAUGGGAGUCGGUAACACCCGAAGCCUGUAGUCUAACCGCAAGGAGGACGCAGUUGAAGGUGGGAUUGAUGACUGGGGUGAAGUCGUAACAAGGUAUC